This 72-nucleotide transfer RNA is filed under the name Camelus bactrianus (Bactrian camel). It matches the Rfam family "tRNA". Rfam says of the family: Transfer RNA (tRNA) molecules are approximately 80 nucleotides in length. Lineage: Eukaryota; Metazoa; Chordata; Mammalia; Artiodactyla; Camelidae. RNAcentral also lists the same sequence under 3 other names. The record is from Rfam by way of RNAcentral.
GAGGGUAUGGCUCAGUGGUAGAGUGCAUGCUUAGCAUGAACAAAAUCCUGGGUUCAAUCCCCUGUGCCUCCA